Molecule: ribosomal RNA, 377 nt
Filed under: uncultured eukaryote
Lineage: Eukaryota
Description: partial 18S ribosomal RNA
Rfam family: Eukaryotic small subunit ribosomal RNA
Source: RNAcentral
CAAUAGCGUAUAUUUAAGUUGUUGCAGUUAAAAAGCUCGUAGUUGGAUUUCGGGUGGGAAUGGCCGGUCCGCCGUUUCGGUGUGCACUUGCUACGCCCACCUUGCUGCCGGGGACGUGCUCUUGAGUUCACGCUCGGGACACGGAGUCGGCGAGGUUACUUUGAGUAAAUUAGAGUGUUCAAAGCAGGCCUACGCUCUGAAUACAUUAGCAUGGAAUAACACGAUAGGACUCUGGCCUAUCUUGUUGGUCUGUAGGACCGGAGCAAUGAUUAAGAGGGACAGUCGGGGGCAUUCGUAUUUCAUUGUCAGAGGUGAAAUUCUUGGAUUUAUGAAAGACGAACUACUGCGAAAGCAUUUGCCAAGGAUGUUUUCAUUAA